RNAcentral lists this unclassified non-coding RNA (337 nucleotides) under soil metagenome. RNAcentral's name for it is "partial contains 5.8S ribosomal RNA, internal transcribed spacer 2, and large subunit ribosomal RNA". The stretch from base 1 to 120 matches the Rfam family "5.8S ribosomal RNA", at positions 35 to 154 of the family's 154-position model. The record is from RNAcentral.
GAUGAAGAACGCAGCGAAAUGCGAUAAGUAGUGUGAAUUGCAGAAUUCAGUGAAUCAUCGAAUCUUUGAACGCACAUUGCCCCCCUUGGUAUUCCAUGGGGCAUGCCUGUUCGAGCGUCAUUUGUACCUUCAAGCUCUGCUUGGUGUUGGGUGUUUGUCUCGCCUCUGCGUGUAGACUCGCCUUAAAACAAUUGGCAGCCGGCGUAUUGAUUUCGGAGCGCAGUACAUCUCGCGCUUUGCACUCAUAACGACGACGUCCAAAAGUACAUUUUUACACUCUUGACCUCGGAUCAGGUAGGGAUACCCGCUGAACUUAAGCAUAUCAAUAAGCGGAGGA